RNAcentral lists this ribosomal RNA (428 nucleotides) under uncultured prokaryote. RNAcentral describes it as "bacterial SSU rRNA". It matches the Rfam family "Bacterial small subunit ribosomal RNA", at positions 355 to 774 of the family's 1533-position model. The record is from RNAcentral.
UGAGGAAUAUUGCGCAAUGGAGGAAACUCUGACGCAGCAACGCCGCGUGAGUGAAGAAGGCCCUCGGGUUGUAAAGCUCUGUCAGGUGGGAAGAACCCUCUGUAGUUGAAUAGGCUACAGAACUGACGGUACCACCAAAGGAAGCACCGGCUAACUCCGUGCCAGCAGCCGCGGUAAGACGGAGGGUGCAAGCGUUGUUCGGAAUCACUGGGCGUAAAGCGCGUGUAGGCGGCUUGACAAGUCGAAUGUGAAAGCCCGGGGCUCAACCUCGGAAGUGCAUUCGAAACUGUCAGGCUUGAGUACGGGAGAGGGAAGUGGAAUUCCUGGUGUAGAGGUGAAAUUCGUAGAUAUCGGGAGGAACAUCAGUGGCGAAGGCGCCCUUCUGGACAGCAACUGACGCUGAGACGCGAAAGCGUGGGGAGCAAACA